AUGCACGCUGGCGGCGUGCCUAAUCCAUGCAAGUCGCGCGAACAGACGAGGAGCUUGCUCCUCUGACGUUAGCGGCGGACGGGUGAGUAACACGUGGAUAACCUACCUAUAAGACUGGGAUAACUUCGGGAAACCGGAGCUAAUACCGGAUAAUAUAUUGAACCGCCUGGUUCAAUAGUGAAAGACGGUUUUGCUGUCACUUAUAGAUUGAUCCGCGCCGCAUUAGCUAGUUGGUAAGGUAACGGCUUACCAAGGCGACGAUGCGUAGCCGACCUGAGAGGGUGAUCGGCCACACUGGAACUGAGACACGGUCCAGACUCCUACGGGAGGCAGCAGUAGGGAAUCUUCCGCAAUGGGCGAAAGCAUGACGGAGCAACGCCGCGUGAGUGAUGAAGGUCUUCGGAUCGUAAAACUCUGUUAUUAGGGAAGAACAAAUGUGUAAGUAACUAUGCACGUCUUGACGGUACCUAAUCAGAAAGCCACGGCUAACUACGUG
This 496-nucleotide ribosomal RNA is filed under the name uncultured bacterium. RNAcentral describes it as "partial 16S ribosomal RNA". It matches the Rfam family "Bacterial small subunit ribosomal RNA", at positions 29 to 507 of the family's 1533-position model. The record is from RNAcentral.